CCGCACGCACCCCCUGACCCAACAAUAGCCCCAGCUCCUCUCCCCGUGGUGCGCAGGGUGGUAUUGCCCGGCCGCUGACUCAGGUGGGAGUGGCGCGUACCAUCCUCCUGCGGUGGGGGAGGUUGGAAUAGAGCAGGGGCGAGGGCCAGGAGACGGUAACUGCUAAGGGAGCCGAUAUCCGCGAGUAACUUGUCGCAUCCGGCCCCAGAAGGUUCAGGGCCAGCGAGGACAACAGAAGUAUCCAGAGAGGCCUCCCUCCCACCACAUAAUACAAGCCGUAUACUCAAGUGAAAGGUCUGGAUCUUACAAAGGUCUCUGAGGCAAGCCCAAAGAAUGCCCUGGAGUGGUGAGGAAACUGAGGCAGGGAAAUUCAGGGACAGAAGAAGGGGAGAGUUCUAGCAGCUCUAUAGAAGAGUGAACAACUUCUCAGGAAGAACCUGACCAUCACAGGUGAUGCCCAUCAGGGACUUUCAUGGAUAGAUGUUGAAAACCCAUGAAGAACAAGUCAGAUGACUGAAACAACAUUUCCAUUCCAUAUUAAACUGUUCAAAGCUAACAAUCAUGCACAUGUUCAAGAGAAAUGCCAAUGUUAAAUUAGAAGUAGAAGAGGGACCAAUAACACCUGAUGAGAUUAAACCAAUUAUCAAAGGCCUCAAACAGAGGAAGGAUCCUGCGGCUGACAGAACUGAAGCAGAAGUACUAAAGGCAGGAGGAGAAAUUCUGAUUCAGCAGUUAACAAAUCAUUCAGUAUUGCUUAAUAAAAAAUGGAAUC
Molecule: long non-coding RNA, 772 nt
Organism: Gopherus flavomarginatus (Mexican gopher tortoise)
Lineage: Eukaryota; Metazoa; Chordata; Testudines; Testudinidae
Exons: 3
Source: RefSeq, a predicted model, not a curated record